RNAcentral lists this long non-coding RNA (508 nucleotides) under Nicotiana benthamiana. Its description in RNAcentral is "long non-coding RNA (NBEN_LNC030185)". Lineage: Eukaryota; Viridiplantae; Streptophyta; Magnoliopsida; Solanales; Solanaceae. The record is from RNAcentral.
GGUCUGCGUACACACUACCCUCCCCAGACCCCACUAAGUGGGAUUAUACUGGGUUGUUGUUGUUGUUGUUGUUGUAUGUAGGCCCUAUGCAUAUACCAGUUCAAUGAAUUAGUGAAGCAUUAUUGGAAAUAUAACAGAAAGGUCACAUGUCUUUUGUUUGACAUGAAUGUUGAUAUCGGAAAGGCAUCUGUUGCAGUGUGUAUGGCUCGCUUACUUUCACGUCACGCCAACAUCUGACUGUUACAUUGGAACAAGAACAGCACGACGCAUAUGGCUAGUUCUAAGUCUUAAUUUAACUGCCAAUAAAGUGUGUAAGUACAUGAAUAAUAGAGUAGUGACUGCACGAACGGGUAAACCACUUCUUAUUGACUUGUAUUUUCUGACACCUGGCCUAUGCUUCUACAUUCAUCUCCCAACAACAACAACAACAACAACUACUCAGUAUAUUCCCACCAGGUGGGGUCUGGGAAAACUUACCUCUACCCUUGGGUAGAGAGGCUGUUUUUCA